This 284-nucleotide small RNA is filed under the name Prolemur simus (greater bamboo lemur). Its description in RNAcentral is "Metazoan signal recognition particle RNA (ENSPSMG00000022054.1)". The record is from RNAcentral. Lineage: Eukaryota; Metazoa; Chordata; Mammalia; Primates; Lemuridae.
GCUGGGCGAGGUGGCUCACGCCUGUAAUCCUAGCACUCUGGGAGGCCGAGGCGGGUGGAUCGCUCAAGGUCAGGAGUUCGAGACCAGCCUGAGCAAGAGCGAGACCCCGUCUCUACUAAAAAUAGAAAGAAAUUAUCUGGCCAACUAAAAAUAUCUAUAGAAAAAAUUAGCUGGGCAUGGUGGCGCAUGCCUGUAGUCCCAGCUACUCUGGGAGGCCGAGGCGGGUGGAUCGCUCAAGGUCAGGAGUUCGAGACCAGCCUGAGCAAGAGCGAGACCCCGUCUCU